AGAGUUUGAAUCAUGGCUCAGGAUGAACGCUGGCGGCGUGCCUAAUACAUGCAAGUCGAGCGAACUCUGGUAACUGAUUUUUGAUGCUUGCAUCAAAAUGAAGAUACAUUUGAGUGAGCGGCGGAUGGGUGAGUAACACGUGGGUAACCUGCCCUAAAGUGGGGGAUAACAUCUGGAAACAGGUGCUAAUACCGCAUAACAACAAUUUCCACAUGGUCAUUGUUUGAAAGAUGGUUCUGCUAUCGCUUUAGGAUGGACCCGCGGCGUAUUAGCUAGUUGGUGAGGUAACGGCUCACCAAGGCGAUGAUACGUAGCCGACCUGAGAGGGUAAUCGGCCACAUUGGGACUGAGACACGGCCCAAACUCCUACGGGAGGCAGCAGUAGGGAAUCUUCCACAAUGGACGAAAGUCUGAUGGAGCAACGCCGCGUGAGUGAAGAAGGUUUUCGGAUCGUAAAACUCUGUUGUUGAAGAAGAACAUGCGUGAGAGUAACUGUUCAUGUAUUGACGGUAUUCAACCAGAAAGCCACGGCUAACUACGUGCCAGCAGCCGCGGUAAUACGUAGGUGGCAAGCGUUAUCCGGAUUUAUUGGGCGUAAAGCGAGUGCAGGCGGUUUAUAAGGUCUGAUGUGAAAGCCCUCGGCUCAACCGAGGAAGUGCAUCGGAAACCGGUAAACUUGAGUGCAGAAGAGGAGAGUGGAACUCCAUGUGUAGCGGUGGAAUGCGUAGAUAUAUGGAAGAACACCAGUGGCGAAGGCGGCUCUCUGGUCUGUAACUGACGCUGAGGCUCGAAAGCGUGGGUAGCAAACAGGAUUAGAUACCCUGGUAGUCC
Molecule: ribosomal RNA, 831 nt
Filed under: Lactobacillus sp.
Lineage: Bacteria; Bacillati; Bacillota; Bacilli; Lactobacillales; Lactobacillaceae
Description: bacterial SSU rRNA
Rfam family: Bacterial small subunit ribosomal RNA
Source: RNAcentral